This 424-nucleotide ribosomal RNA is filed under the name uncultured bacterium. RNAcentral's name for it is "bacterial SSU rRNA". It matches the Rfam family "Bacterial small subunit ribosomal RNA", at positions 355 to 776 of the family's 1533-position model. The record is from RNAcentral.
UGAGGAAUAUUGGACAAUGGGUGGAAGCCUGAUCCAGCCAUCCCGCGUGUAGGAUGACGGCCUUAUGGGUUGUAAACUACUUUUAUCUGGGGAUAAACCUACUCACGUGUGAGUAGCUGAAGGUACCAGAAGAAUAAGCACCGGCUAACUCCGUGCCAGCAGCCGCGGUAAUACGGAGGGUGCAAGCGUUAUCCGGAUUUAUUGGGUUUAAAGGGUCCGUAGGCGGAUUAAUCAGUCAGUGGUGAAAUCCCGCAGCUUAACUGUGGAACUGCCAUUGAUACUGUUAGUCUUGAGUAAUGUUGAAGUUGCUGGAAUGUGUAGUGUAGCGGUGAAAUGCUUAGAUAUUACGCAGAACACCAAUUGCGAAGGCAGGUGACUAAACAUUAACUGACGCUGAUGGACGAAAGCGUGGGGAGCGAACAGG